CUCAUCUUCUUGUUCUUGGGUUUCUUGAAAUUUCCAACUUUCCUUUCAGAGCCCAUCUCUCUUUCUCUGUUCUUGAGCUAUUUUCUUGAUCUUGUUUGUUUUGAGAGAAAAGAAAAAGGAAAAAAAAAAAAAAAGAAANNNUGGUGAUGGGGGAUUCAUAUGAUGAAGGGUGUGAUUACCUGUUUAAAGCAGUUCUAAUUGGGGAUUCAG
This 210-nucleotide unclassified non-coding RNA is filed under the name Hevea brasiliensis (rubber tree). Lineage: Eukaryota; Viridiplantae; Streptophyta; Magnoliopsida; Malpighiales; Euphorbiaceae. The record is from RNAcentral.